CUGCAGUUCUCUUCUGUGUAGGUUGGCUGCAGUCCCUGUGCAGAAAACUCCAGUCCAGGACUUGUUAAAGGCAGCAUGACACCACCCCAUGGCGGCGAGAGAGCUGCUGUGUCUUUAAGCGAGGAGGCCGAGGUCCUGGGCAGAGGCUUCCACGGGCCAGAAGCUAUUGUCAUAUGCAACACAGCGAGACAGUUACGAACACAGAACCUGAAGCCAGAUCAUUUGGUGCAGCCAGCUUUACCACUCACUGGCUGUGUGACUUUCAGCAAGUUAUUAACCUCUCUGUGCUCUCAACUAUAAAAAUGGGCAUAGUAAUAAUACCGAAGUCUUAGGAUUAUGAGGACGAAAUGAAUUAGCAGAUGUAAGUACUGUACAGUAAUUGUUAUAUAACCACUAGCUGUGUAAAAAAUAAAUUAUCACAGUUCAUCCA
Molossus molossus (Pallas's mastiff bat) is the source of this 430-nucleotide long non-coding RNA. RefSeq lists it as uncharacterized. The transcript has 3 exons. The record is from RefSeq and is a predicted model, not a curated record. Lineage: Eukaryota; Metazoa; Chordata; Mammalia; Chiroptera; Molossidae.